CUUGUUCAACAGAGCAGGAGACUGAGGUUUGGACGGGGAAAGUAGCCCUUUAUCACAAACAAACAGGAAAACAACAGUCAUCCUUCCAGGCCCUCCCUGGAGGAGGGCAUCGUUCAUUUGCAAGGAUUUGGAUCUGCCAGCCUGCAAACCGACCAUCAGAACCAAAAGAGACAGACACAGACAGACAGACAGGCAGAGCCGCAGUGCACACAGGGCGUGUGUCGGAGGCCGCCUGGAGACUCACCGCAGCAAUGCUACGUGAAUGCAGAGGGCUGGAGGUGGUGUGACUACUCACUUGCUCGGCUAACAGCUGCCGGUUUUGGAUGGAAUUAUUCCGCAA
Bubalus bubalis (water buffalo) is the source of this 340-nucleotide long non-coding RNA. RefSeq lists it as uncharacterized. The transcript has 3 exons. The record is from RefSeq and is a predicted model, not a curated record. NCBI's taxonomy places the organism in Eukaryota, Metazoa, Chordata, Mammalia, Artiodactyla, Bovidae.